CAGUAGCCGCGGUAAUACGUAGGGCGCAAGCGUUAUCCGGAAUUAUUGGGCGUAAAGAGCUCGUAGGCGGUUUGUCGCGUCUGCCGUGAAAGUCCGGGGCUCAACCCCGGAUCUGCGGUGGGUACGGGCAGACUAGAGUGAUGUAGGGGAGACUGGAAUUCCUGGUGUAGCGGUGAAAUGCGCAGAUAUCAGGAGGAACACCGAUGGCGAAGGCAGGUCUCUGGGCAUUAACUGACGCUGAGGAGCGAAAGCAUGGGGAGCGAACAGGAUUAGAUACCCGAGUAGUCCCUGUCUCUUAUAC
Molecule: ribosomal RNA, 301 nt
Filed under: uncultured bacterium
Lineage: Bacteria
Description: partial 16S ribosomal RNA
Rfam family: Bacterial small subunit ribosomal RNA
Source: RNAcentral